GCCCCUAUUUUCUCGUGGAUCAGGACAUCUUUCUUUCAAGGAGGAAAUGGGGAUUCAAAUUCCCCUUGGGGUA
This is a non-coding RNA of Picea glauca (white spruce), 73 nucleotides long. The record is from Rfam. NCBI's taxonomy places the organism in Eukaryota, Viridiplantae, Streptophyta, Pinopsida, Pinales, Pinaceae.